RNAcentral lists this ribosomal RNA (473 nucleotides) under uncultured bacterium. RNAcentral's name for it is "bacterial SSU rRNA". It matches the Rfam family "Bacterial small subunit ribosomal RNA", at positions 19 to 518 of the family's 1533-position model. The record is from RNAcentral.
CUGGCUCAGGAUGAACGCUGGCGGCGUGCCUAACACAUGCAAGUCGAGCGAUUCUCUUCGGAGAAGAGCGGCGGACGGGUGAGUAACGCGUGGGUAACCUGCCUCAUACACAUGGAUAACAUACCGAAAGGUAUGCUAAUACAGGAUGAUAUAAGAGAUUCACAUGGAUUUCUUAUCAAAGCUCCGGCGGUAUGAGAUGGACCCGCGUCUGAUUAGCUAGUUGGUAAGGUAACGGCUUACCAAGGCGACGAUCAGUAGCCGACCUGAGAGGGUGAUCGGCCACAUUGGAACUGAGACACGGUCCAAACUCCUACGGGAGGCAGCAGUGGGGAAUAUUGCACAAUGGGCGAAAGCCUGAUGCCAGCAACGCCGCGUGAGUGAUGAAGGCCUUCGGGUCGUAAAACUCUGUCCUCAAGGAAGAUAAUGACGGUACUUGAGGAGGAAGCCCCGGCUAACUACGUGCCAGCCGCAGC